Molecule: non-coding RNA, 299 nt
Organism: Poecilia reticulata (guppy)
Lineage: Eukaryota; Metazoa; Chordata; Actinopteri; Cyprinodontiformes; Poeciliidae
Source: RefSeq, a predicted model, not a curated record
CUUCCUUUGGUGCAUCAGAGACCUUCUUCCCCAAAGGAAGAAAAUCAGAUGGGACUUAUGAGGUGGAGAUUCGACAGAAAACCAACAUUCUCUACUCCUACCACUACUGUUAUGAGGGAUUCUGCCUGAGUGGUGACUGUGGGACUCAGAGACAGCAGUCUGUGGAUGUAGUUACCUCUGGUUCUUAUGGGCUUACCUGGCAACAAUAUGAGACGAAAACAACUAGACAGCUGACGAGCAACCUUCCCUUCGACAUAGGGUGAGAUGAAGAGUUCCUCAAAUAAAACAACCUUACAACA